Rana temporaria (common frog) is the source of this 339-nucleotide long non-coding RNA. RefSeq lists it as uncharacterized. The record is from RefSeq and is a predicted model, not a curated record. NCBI's taxonomy places the organism in Eukaryota, Metazoa, Chordata, Amphibia, Anura, Ranidae. The transcript has 2 exons.
UGGAUGUUGGACCCUGAGACUCCUGUGGCCUUACCUGGUGCACAUAGGUCCAUUCGCCCAUGCACGUGCCCCAUGGUCACUACACGGGACCCUCUGAGGUGGCGACCGUCCUCCCCGCUGGUCAAUGUGGGGGGGUUUUUAGACUCUUCUGAUGAAGUGGCGUACAGCCACGAAACUAGUUAAGAUGUCGUGAUAUGACCUUCUACCCACUAUGCUUCUCCUCCUCCUGGGGACUACUAUACUGGCGAUUUGUUGGUCAUAUAUGUUAUGUUGAUGUUUCAAUCAUGUAUCCCCUUGGUGUCGUUAUCGACAUUUUUUUACAAUAAAAUUGUUCUUUAU